CAGGGCUGGGCUCAUCUGGGACACCUGGGACUCUCUCACCUGGGUCUUUCAUCCUGGGCUUCUUCCUCUCAUGGUGGCCACAGGUGUUCCGAGGGGAUGAGGUUGGACACUACAAGGCCUGUGAAGGUGUAGGCUCUGAGGCUACAUAACUUCACUUCCACUGCAUUCUCUUGGUCAAAGCAGCAGACAAGGCUGCUCGGACACAAAGAGUGGAGAGACGCCUUCGUUGCUCUUGUCCCAUCUGUGUCCAGUUCAUUCCUACGAAGACAGCCACUCUCUAGGAGAGCCCCGACCAGGAAAGAAGUUAGUUUCAGGUGCAUCCGACUGGGGGAGACACAGAGGAGGCCUCUCAACAAAACAGCAGGAUGCAGCUGGAGAAACUGGUUGUUUUACCAAGGCUUGGACUGGAAAGGGCAUGCUUCCCUUAAAAAAAUCAAGCUUGACUUGCAGAGCCAAUAAAAGCCUGUUGGGAAAACCGGCCUCAUACCUUGUCUACCUAGUCCCUAUACAGGGUUCCUAACCUGUGGUGAGUAAAGAAUGUCACUUCCUAACAGGCCCAGGAGCCCCAUG
This 570-nucleotide long non-coding RNA is filed under the name Homo sapiens (human). Its description in RNAcentral is "HSALNT0315060". The record is from RNAcentral. Lineage: Eukaryota; Metazoa; Chordata; Mammalia; Primates; Hominidae.